GCCACAGUGGUCUAGCGGUUAGAACGCUGGCCUUGUAAUCCUGGGGUCCCGGGUUCAAUUCCCGGUGGUGCUC
This 73-nucleotide transfer RNA is filed under the name Zootermopsis nevadensis. It matches the Rfam family "tRNA". Rfam says of the family: Transfer RNA (tRNA) molecules are approximately 80 nucleotides in length. Their secondary structure includes four short double-helical elements and three loops (D, anti-codon, and T loops). The record is from Rfam by way of RNAcentral. Lineage: Eukaryota; Metazoa; Arthropoda; Insecta; Blattodea; Termopsidae.